Molecule: long non-coding RNA, 774 nt
Organism: Antechinus flavipes (yellow-footed antechinus)
Lineage: Eukaryota; Metazoa; Chordata; Mammalia; Dasyuromorphia; Dasyuridae
Exons: 2
Source: RefSeq, a predicted model, not a curated record
UUUCAUAUUGUUGAGGAUUGUUCCCACACAUUGACCCGAUGGUACUUCAAGAGUGAAGAUGAUGACUGUUUCCCUUUUGAGUACAGCCCAUGUACUUAUACUAAAAACAGCUUUCAGACUCGUACUGCUUGUAGGAUGACCUGUUUCCAAUACAGGACAAUGAAGAUCAAAAAAUAUUUUUGAGAUUUACUGUGAUGGGUUAGGCAAAUCCAUCCCUCUGACAUGUUUCAGCAAUCUCCCUGUAUCAGAGAAUAGAACAGAUACUGGACUCCUCAAGCAUCAUCUUGUCUCCUGCCUACUUUUCCAGAAUCUCCCCAAUAUCCCAUUGCAAGGAUGCUUCCAGCCUCUGACUGAAGGCCUCCAGAGAUGGGGAGCUCACUCCCUUCCAAGGAUACCCAUUCCAUUCUUGCAUAUCAGGAUGUUUGAUCAUAUACACAAGGUCCUCCAAAAAGUCAGCCCCAAACCACAGAUUAGAUUCCCUCAUAUCCUGACACUUCUUAAGUGUGAGCCUACUAGUCUUACUUUUCUCAUCUAUCGUGUGAGGGGUGGAGUUGGGGGCCUCUGAGCAAGGCCAGUCUCACAUUGUGAGCAGAUAUGAUAAAAUGACUUGUCCAGGAUCACACAGCUAGGAAGUGAGGGAGAAAUGAACCCAGUACUGCUCGGUACCCAGAUAAUACUCUAUCUACUAUGAUUCCUUUAGUGAGUCCUUUAACAAUUAUGUUUUUCCUAAGUUGAUGUCCUGUUUGUCCUGUGAAUAAAGCAUUUUAAAAUGAA